RNAcentral lists this ribosomal RNA (320 nucleotides) under uncultured Bacteroidota bacterium. RNAcentral's name for it is "bacterial SSU rRNA". It matches the Rfam family "Bacterial small subunit ribosomal RNA", at positions 132 to 451 of the family's 1533-position model. The record is from RNAcentral. Lineage: Bacteria; Pseudomonadati; Bacteroidota.
UUUACAGGAGUAUAGCCCAGAGAAAUUUGGAUUAAUCCUCCAUAAUAUCUUUUUCUUGCAUAGGAAAAAGAUUAAAGCUUCGGUGGUAAAAGAUGGGCAUGCGUUUUAUUAGCUAGUAGGUGAGGUAACGGCUCACCUAGGCCACGAUAAAUAGGGGCCCUGAGAGGGGGAUCCCCCACACUGGUACUGAGACACGGACCAGACUCCUACGGGAGGCAGCAGUGAGGAAUAUUGGACAAUGGACGAAAGUCUGAUCCAGCCAUGCCGCGUGCAGGAUGACGGCCCUAUGGGUUGUAAACUGCUUUUAUACAGGAAGAAAC